RNAcentral lists this microRNA precursor (65 nucleotides) under Bigelowiella natans CCMP2755. Its description in RNAcentral is "miRNA EPrBNAG00000013466". Lineage: Eukaryota; Cercozoa; Chlorarachniophyceae. The record is from RNAcentral.
UUUCGAUGAUAUGAUGAUGAUGAUAAUGAUCAUCGUCAUCAUCAUCAUCAUCAUCAUCAUCAUCA